GGUUUGAAUGUCCUAAUACAAACAUUUUCAUGACUGGGUUUUCUCUUUUGUGGCCUCUCCACAUUUUCUUUGUGAGCGGAUGUUAUUAUUUGCUAUGAAAGUUUGAGAGUUUAAUAUUAAAAACGAGUGUAGUGUGAUUGCAGGUGCUUUUAAGUACAGUAGUAUUUCAGUACAAUAGUCUUGCUGUAGAAGCAAAGUAGUAGCUUGUAGUUUCCAUGUUUAUGAAAUUUUUCUUCCCUAAAGGUGCUCCUGUGUGGAAUUCAAGAAAUUGAUCUGAAUGACUGGCAGAGGCAAUACCAUCUACCGGCAUGAUAGCAGAACCUGCAGACAGAUAUUGUGGUUCUGGCAGUUUGGGAAAUAAAUAGAUAAUGAGAAGAGAAUGAGAUUUCUACAGUUUGUUACUGGAACGUGCAGAUUACCAGUAGGAGGAUUUGCUGACCUCACGGGGAGCAACAGACCCCAAAAAUUUUGCAUUGAGAAAGUUGGAAAGGAAAACUGGUUACCUGGAAGUCACACCUGUUUCAAUCGCUUGGACCUUCCAGCCUAUAAGAAUUAUGAGCAGCUGAAGGAAAAGCUGUUAUUUGCAACUGAAGAAACAGAAGGUUUUGGGCAGGAAUAGCUGGGAUUUGCACCUUGAAGAAUGUGAACUCAGCGUGAUGUUCUUCGCUUCUUCUGCUUGUUGCACACUUCAUAGUAAAGUAGACUUGACUUGGAUUAUUUAACAAUAGUUGCGUGUAAGUAAAUGGAUGUUAUCCUGAGGUUUUAUCCAUGUAAACUCUGGAUUUCUACCGAGCACUUUCAGAAACCUUCUCGCUGGCGGUGAAAGCUAUCCUUGCUUCACAGUUUUACUAGGAGGAAGAUCUGCCUAUUCCAAAGCACUGGAUGGGUAUUUUACCGUAUACAGCUCAGAAGGAGAAGAAAAAAGCCUUAUGAAUAUUCUGUUUAUGUUAAUUCUUACAGUGAAAUCUAGUUAUCUAACAUAUUUACAGGAGAGAUGAAAUUAAACAGGAUAAUGCAAGAUUAAGCUAAGACAACUAGUUUGUGUUCUGCAUAAUGAUUUAUGAUUCACGUAGGGAACCUAGACAUGCCGUGGAUGUAUAAGUAUCACCCAAAAGGCUUUCAGCCCUAUAUUUUUAAAACACAAAGCAGUUCUAAUUGAAAUAGCCUUAGCCCUAGUUCUAUAGGGUACAGCUGUUGAAUAUUUUUAUGGCUGAAAUGUUUAGUUCAGGAAAAAGAUAAAUGCUUGUAUAUAUUUUUGCAGUCUCGGAUUCCACUUACUCCAUGUUUUCUUUCUUUAAUUUAAGUGGCGUGUUUGUGUCUUUCCUGCUGUAUUGGAUGGGGAAAGUGGGCUGGAUAUCCCAAGCACCAGAACUUACUUUAAUGUACCGCAAACAAAGAGUCAGCUGGGAAAAGCAGUCUGUGAAAUGCUGCAUUUGGCCAAAGAGGAAAGUAAACCUGCCAGUGUGUUCAAUUGGCGACGUUCUUGAAGUCUGAAAUAAUGUUUACUUACACGUUUUGCUUUGUAAGCCAACAAGUCUGUUGGUUUUUCUAUAGCAUGUUCUGUAGAAAUAAAACGUUGUUCCUAUGAACCAUUGGUGCACUUUGCUGUUCUUUAUGGGGAUGCGGAGGAAACAUCCCGUGGAUGCUGUGGAUAACCCCACAGCAUCUGCUACCCCAGGUAAUAUUGGACUUCCAGCUGAGAUGAAUGACUUUACUGCUCCCAGCACUGCUUGAGCAACCUGGUCUGUGUGAAUUCAUACUGCAUAACAAAUACAUACUCGUAUGUAGCUGCCAACUAAUCCCAAUUCUCAAACAUGAAAGUAACUUCUGUUUCGUUGUUUGCCUUAUGAAAAUGACAUGAAAAACUGAAUGAGAUGCUGAGCUGCUGAUGGACGAAUUAACAAAGCCUUAUUGCUCCAGGUAGCUCAGGUGUUCCUAUAUGAAGCUGCACAGUAAAUGCGUCAUGUCUUCAUCUGAUCAAGCAGCGGGAGCUGAUAUUUUAAUGUGUUUCUAUUCCAGAAAAAGAAAAAAAAACUUGAAAAAGAAAAGCCUGUUAAAAUUGUCUUGUUUGCAUCAUUCUGACAUGCUGUGCUCUGUCUGUGAAUUCAGCUCUUGGUUCUGUUGGUAUCUCCAGCCCCUGAUUCUUGUGGUGUCUUCAUUUUCUUCCAGCAUCACUGUUUGUGUAUUGCUCUAUUGAACAAGGACAUGAACAGGGAUCAGCAGCACUGGAUGGUAAAAUACUGUAUGAAGUUAAUUGUGGAAAUUUCCUUGUAUUGUAAUUUCCAGUACUCAGGAAACUGUAACAAUAUCUCUGUAAGUCAAAUACUUUUAUAAAAUGACUCAAAGAGA
Molecule: non-coding RNA, 2349 nt
Organism: Coturnix japonica (Japanese quail)
Lineage: Eukaryota; Metazoa; Chordata; Aves; Galliformes; Phasianidae
Source: RefSeq, a predicted model, not a curated record